AACCCAUAGUGAGGGCACCUUUUCAGUAAGUCCUUGUAUCUUUCCCAUGCAUCGUAGAGGGUUUCUAAAUUCAUCUGCACAAAAAAAGAGAUAUCAUAACAUAAUUU
This is a non-coding RNA of Gossypium hirsutum (cotton), 107 nucleotides long. The record is from Rfam. Lineage: Eukaryota; Viridiplantae; Streptophyta; Magnoliopsida; Malvales; Malvaceae.